Molecule: ribosomal RNA, 306 nt
Filed under: uncultured bacterium
Lineage: Bacteria
Description: partial 16S ribosomal RNA
Rfam family: Bacterial small subunit ribosomal RNA
Source: RNAcentral
GACAGCAGUCGCCACGGUAAUACGUAGGGUGCAAGCGUUAAUCGGAAUUACUGGGCGUAAAACGUGCGCAGGCGGUUUGUUAAGACAGAUGUGAAAUCCCCGGGCUCAACCUGGGAAUGGCAAUGGAUACUGGCAAGCUAGAGUGUGUCAGAGGAUGGUGGAAUUCCCGGUGUAGCGGUGAAAUGCGUAGAGAUCGGGAGGAACAUCAGUGGCGAAGGCGGCCAUCUGGGACAACACUGACGCUGAGGCACGAAAGCGUGGGGAGCAAACAGGAUUAGAUACCCCUGUAGUCCCUGUCUCUUAUAC